This 62-nucleotide transfer RNA is filed under the name Pseudoniphargus salinus. RNAcentral describes it as "tRNA-Leu". Lineage: Eukaryota; Metazoa; Arthropoda; Malacostraca; Amphipoda; Allocrangonyctidae. The record is from RNAcentral.
UACUAUCUGACAACUAAUCAUAUUUAAAUCCUAAAUUUAACGCGCUACUCCGCCUAAAUAGU